RNAcentral lists this transfer RNA (73 nucleotides) under Paramuricea clavata. It matches the Rfam family "tRNA". From Rfam's summary of the family: Transfer RNA (tRNA) molecules are approximately 80 nucleotides in length. Lineage: Eukaryota; Metazoa; Cnidaria; Anthozoa; Malacalcyonacea; Plexauridae. The record is from Rfam by way of RNAcentral.
CCCUCUGUAGCUCAGUUGGUUAGAGCGCUGCUCCGGAAUCGCAGGGCCGUAGGUUCGAUUCCCACCAGAGGAC